AUUUGUUUAAUCCACGAAUGACACUGAUGCUCCGAGGCUUUCAUGUGUUGUAGUCAGUCUCUCGGUGUGUGUUGGAUGUCUUGUCUGCCAGUGCAAGGUGGGUUUGUAAUAGAUGAAAAGGGAGAACAGCAUAGCAUGAAAAAUGACCGUUCUAUCUUUCUUCUUAAGAUCAAUGUAUAGAUGUCAAAUUUUGUAAUAAUAUCCACUUUGCUAUAUUCACGUAUAUUUGUCAAAAAGACUAAUAACUAAUAAAUCGAAACGCAAUGAAAACAUCUGGAUGCUGAUUAUUCCCUUAAUUUGCUUCCAGCAGUCAGGGACCAUGAACGAUUUCUAUGGAUAAAAGCUAAUCGGCCCUGUGGCUGAGAUUCACCUUCUCGUCCGGAUGGGGCUUUACUAAUUUAUGCUGAGACAUGCGUGAGCCUCCCCGGAGCUCAGUGGAAGUGGUCUUUUUCAAAACCGGGAAAAAAGGCCAAUCGAGUGAACAUUUUUCUUUUUUAUGUUCUCUGUCAGAGCUUGUGUAAAUACGAAGCGUAUUUGAGGCCAACGAGAUAUAUACGUGUGUUAACCACUGGAUGUUUGGUUAGGCCGCCAGACUUUAAAAAAAUCACGUUCAGCUUCAAUUUAGAAAAAGGUUUGAAGUCUCAAGAGAAAGUUCAGACAUCUCACAACUAUAGGAUUUCAUAAAAAAGCCAAGUUAAUACAGCAAGGCUACAAGAAAAAAAGUCGGGCAUCUUUCAAAAUAAGUGCUUUCCAAAUCCUGCUCUGCAAGAACAGGUGCAUAAAAGAACGACCAGAAGUGGUUCUCAGUACCGGACAGCCGAGUACAGGAAGCUUUGUGUGCGUGUUCAGAGGGAAAAAAAAGUCUUCCUCAAUGGGUCUUUUGUUGUUUGAGUUGGAGACAGCAAAAGCACGAGAGACAUUGAGUGACAAAUACCUGACCCCUCUGUGCCUCAAAGGUCUCACAGUCACACUGGAUACAAUGUCAACGAAUGCCUCCUCUGCCCUCCAUAGCAGCCCGCUCUCCGUACACAAG
Molecule: long non-coding RNA, 1033 nt
Organism: Gasterosteus aculeatus aculeatus (three-spined stickleback)
Lineage: Eukaryota; Metazoa; Chordata; Actinopteri; Perciformes; Gasterosteidae
Source: Ensembl